CCUACGGGUGGCUGCAGUGAGGAAUAUUGGUCAAUGGACGAGAGUCUGAACCAGCCAAGUAGCGUGAAGGAUGACUGCCCUAUGGGUUGUAAACUUCUUUUAUAUGGGAAUAAAACGUUCCACGUGUGGGAUUUUGUAUGUACCAUAUGAAUAAGGAUCGGCUAACUCCGUGCCAGCAGCCGCGGUAAUACGGAGGAUCCGAGCGUUAUCCGGAUUUAUUGGGUUUAAAGGGAGCGUAGGUGGAUUGUUAAGUCAGUUGUGAAAGUUUGCGGCUCAACCGUAAAAUUGCAGUUGAAACUGGCAGUCUUGAGUACAGUAGAGGUGGGCGGAAUUCGUAGUGUAGCGGUGAAAUGCUUAGAUAUCACGAAGAACUCCGAUUGCGAAGGCAGUUCACUGGACUGCAACUGACACUGAGGCUCGAAAGUGUGGGUAUCAAACAGGAUUAGAUACCCUUGUAGUC
RNAcentral lists this ribosomal RNA (460 nucleotides) under uncultured bacterium. RNAcentral describes it as "partial 16S ribosomal RNA". It matches the Rfam family "Bacterial small subunit ribosomal RNA", at positions 338 to 795 of the family's 1533-position model. The record is from RNAcentral.